Non-coding RNA from Kogia breviceps (pygmy sperm whale), 565 nucleotides. NCBI's taxonomy places the organism in Eukaryota, Metazoa, Chordata, Mammalia, Artiodactyla, Physeteridae. The record is from RefSeq and is a predicted model, not a curated record.
GGAAACCAGAUUCUUUCUACCUUGGAAUAUAGUGUUUUAUAAUCCACUGGGUUAUAAAGUACUAGAACAUUCCUAAACCCCCACCAUGCUGAGGUCUAGGAAGCCAUCCAGGAUAAACCUCUCUCCACACGCUGUGCACAGAACACAAGUUGGGGAAUCAGAGGCACGGUCCCACCUCCACUGAACUGUGUUCUUUGCCUCUGACUCAGUUUCAUCUGUGAGGGAUCUGCCCUGCUCUGUCUACUUGGUGGGACUGCUGUGUUGAUCCAAGGGGAUCCUGCACUUGAAGUUGCCUUGGAACUGCCAGAUGAUGUGCAAAUGCCAUGGUUGCCACUUGAGCCUGAAUUUCCAAUCUGCCCAGAUAAAGAAGAGAGGAUUUGGGAGGGAAUUCUGCUGGAGUGACGGCUCGGAAAAAGGUUCUUUUCUAUUAUAGGUUAUUACAAGAUACUGAAUAUGGUUCUUUGUGCUAUACAGUCCUUUCUCUUCUCCUUCUGAGAACCCUAUAAUGUGAAUCUCCAGUGUCCCUGUCCCCACAGUGAGCCAUAGCUGCCCCUCACCCACCACC